RNAcentral lists this ribosomal RNA (253 nucleotides) under uncultured bacterium. Its description in RNAcentral is "partial 16S ribosomal RNA". It matches the Rfam family "Bacterial small subunit ribosomal RNA", at positions 524 to 776 of the family's 1533-position model. The record is from RNAcentral.
GACGAACCUUGCAAACGUUAUUCGGAAUCACUGGGCUUAAAGGGUGCGUAGGCGGUGCGGAAAGUUGGGUGUGAAAUCCCUCAGCUUAACUGAGGAACUGCGCUCAAAACUUCCGUGCUAGAGGGAGAUAGAGGUGAGCGGAACUUAGGGUGGAGCGGUGAAAUGCGUUGAUAUCCUAAGGAACACCGGUGGCGAAAGCGGCUCACUGGAUCUCUUCUGACGCUGAGGCACGAAAGCUAGGGGAGCAAACGGG